Molecule: ribosomal RNA, 542 nt
Filed under: uncultured soil bacterium
Lineage: Bacteria
Description: bacterial SSU rRNA
Rfam family: Bacterial small subunit ribosomal RNA
Source: RNAcentral
GCUGGCGGCGUGCCUAACACAUGCAAGUCGAACGAGAAAGGGGAGCAAUCCCUGAGUAAAGUGGCGACCGGGUGAGUAACACGUGACUAACCUACCCUCGAGUGUGGAAUAACAUCGGGAAACCGAUGCUAAUACCGCAUAACAUCGCAAGAUCAAAGGAGCAAUCCGCUUGAGGAGGGGGUCGCGGCUGAUUAGCUAGUUGGCGGGGUAACGGCCCACCAAGGCGAAGAUCGGUAGCCGGCCUGAGAGGGCGCACGGCCACACUGGAACUGAAACACGGUCCAGACUCCUACGGGAGGCAGCAGUGGGGAAUUUUGCGCAAUGGGGGAAACCCUGACGCAGCAACGCCGCGUGGAGGAUGAAGCCCCUUGGGGCGUAAACUCCUUUCGACCAAGACGAUAAUGACGGUACUGGUGGAAGAAGCACCGGCUAACUCUGUGCCAGCAGCCCGCGGUAAUACAGAGGGUGCAAGCGUUGUUCGGAAUUAUUGGGCGUAAAGGGCGCGUAGGCGGUGCGACAAGUCACCUGUGAAAUCCCCGGGC